Long non-coding RNA from Coccinella septempunctata (seven-spotted ladybird), 357 nucleotides. RefSeq lists it as uncharacterized. NCBI's taxonomy places the organism in Eukaryota, Metazoa, Arthropoda, Insecta, Coleoptera, Coccinellidae. The record is from RefSeq and is a predicted model, not a curated record. The transcript is spliced from 2 exons.
ACAAAUAUGGGGAUUUAAUUUUAAAUUUUGUACAGCUGACAGCUGACCAUAGAUAACCUAACCUGUUUGUUGAUAUUUACAUAACCGUUACAGUCGGAGCCGGAAACUUUCUGAUUUUUAUUCGACUUAUUACACUAAUUAAAUGAGACCAUUGAUAUUGAUACUUUGAAAGCAAUCUGAUGAUGACAUGCAUUAAGAGUUCUUCUUUUGGGUACAUCAAACUUUCCAUUUUCCAAAAAUAAAAGUAAUAUUAGAUGAUCGAAAUACUCGAAAAUCUGGAGCAUUCUCAAAUAACAAAACUAAAAUUUUAAAUGAUAAUCAAAUGUGAUUUAAACCAAUACAUUUUAUUGAGGAGUA